RNAcentral lists this ribosomal RNA (464 nucleotides) under Vreelandella stevensii. RNAcentral's name for it is "partial 16S ribosomal RNA". It matches the Rfam family "Bacterial small subunit ribosomal RNA", at positions 338 to 795 of the family's 1533-position model. Lineage: Bacteria; Pseudomonadati; Pseudomonadota; Gammaproteobacteria; Oceanospirillales; Halomonadaceae. The record is from RNAcentral.
CCUACGGGCGGCAGCAGUGGGGAAUAUUGGACAAUGGGCGAAAGCCUGAUCCAGCCAUGCCGCGUGUGUGAAGAAGGCCUUCGGGUUGUAAAGCACUUUCAGUGGGGAAGAAAGCCUUGGGGCUAAUACCCUCGAGGAAGGACAUCACCCACAGAAGAAGCACCGGCUAACUCCGUGCCAGCAGCCGCGGUAAUACGGAGGGUGCGAGCGUUAAUCGGAAUUACUGGGCGUAAAGCGCGCGUAGGCGGUCUGAUAAGCCGGUUGUGAAAGCCCCGGGCUCAACCUGGGAACGGCAUCCGGAACUGUCAGGCUAGAGUGCAGGAGAGGAAGGUAGAAUUCCCGGUGUAGCGGUGAAAUGCGUAGAGAUCGGGAGGAAUACCAGUGGCGAAGGCGGCCUUCUGGACUGACACUGACGCUGAGGUGCGAAAGCGUGGGUAGCAAACAGGAUUAGAUACCUAGUAGUC